CUAAUAAUUCCUCUUCUUCUCUCCCUAUGUCACAGUGUGAUCAUAUACAUCCUUCCCUUGGCAAGAUCAAGGCUGCAUCUGAUUAAGCCAAUUUGGGCAGGCUGUUUAUAGUCACUGCCUAAUCAUUGAGAGAGUUUACACCAUGAAUGGGAUCAUCGGCCACCCAUUCGACAUGAGACUGCCAUUGGAUAUUUACAUCAUUUCAGCCAAAGCACCUUGCAGAUCUCACUUUCUUCUCCUCUCGCUCCUAGGAUGAUUGGCAGAUGCCAUGCAGGACUCCUCCACUAUUGGCUGACACCCUCCAAGGAAACUGCCAGAUCAAAGUUUGAUUAGUUAGAGGGCACAUCCCUGAAUGCCACAGCAGAAACUAAUGAUUCCACAGCAAGAGAGCCAUGCCCUGAUGUCACUGCCUAGCUGGUGCAGAUGUUGAAAGCAGAGUUCCUUCAUCUCCCAACCAGCUGCCCUCCCCAAGCCUCUCUGCCUUGAGUCUAUUCUCUGCACUCCCCUCUGAUAAUCAUUGGAUAGCUUUCCAUACAAGGUCAAAAUCCUUUACAACCUGACCCCAGCCUUUUAUCUCUGACCACCCUGUACAUUACACCGUUUACUCCAACCAUCGGCAACCAACAUCCAUUUCCUGAAACGCAAUCCACUCUUAAGUCUGGUGACCUUUGCACAUACUGUCUCUUCUGACUAAAAUGUUUUUCCCUUUGACUGACACCAAUCCAACCUAUAAGACCUUGUCCAAAUAGCAUCUCCUCCAUGCUACCCCCUAUCUGGGUUCCAACUUCACAACAUACAUGCUUCUAGUGCAACACUAAUCUCAUUUGCUAUGGUUUGGAUAUUUGUCCCCUCCAAACCUUAUAUUGAAAUUUGAUCCCCAGUGUUGGAAGUGGGGCUUAAUGAGAGGUGUUUGGGUCAUGGAGGUAGAUUCCUCAUGAAUACAUUAAUGACCUGAAUUGGGGGAAUGAGAGAGUUAUUACUCUAUUAGCUCCCUCAAGAGCUGAUUGUUUAAUAGGCCCUGGCACCUCUUCCCACCUUGUUUUCUCUCUAGCCAUGUGAUCUCUGGACACACUGGCUCCCAUUUGCCUUCCACCAUAGUAGAAGCAGCCUGAGGCCCUCAGAUGCAGAUGCUGGUGCCAUGUUUCUCGUACAGUCUUGAGUUACCAUGCGCCAAAUAAACCUCUUUUCUUUAUAAGUUACCCAGUUUUCACUAAGGCAACACUGUUAUAAAUUCAUUCUGCUGUGUUAUAAAUUAAUUCUUUGUCAGUUCCUGAACUCCUCGAGGUCAGGAGUAUGUCUUGUGUUUCUAAUUUCUGCAGGAAAUCCUGCAGCAAUGAGGUUCAGUGUAAAUCCACUGAACAAAC
Molecule: long non-coding RNA, 1364 nt
Filed under: Homo sapiens (human)
Lineage: Eukaryota; Metazoa; Chordata; Mammalia; Primates; Hominidae
Description: HSALNT0341408
Source: RNAcentral